Molecule: long non-coding RNA, 1489 nt
Filed under: Cyanistes caeruleus (blue tit)
Lineage: Eukaryota; Metazoa; Chordata; Aves; Passeriformes; Paridae
Description: lncRNA (ENSCCEG00000017814.1)
Source: RNAcentral
CUGGGAAAUUGGAGCAGGGCUCGCGGGGACAGCGGCCCUCUCUGCUGGCAGGCAGGGGAUGCUUUCGGGAUGUCGAAUUUCUCAUUUCCCUGGAAAACCGGGAGGAGGAAUCUGCCCCAAUCCUUCCCCCAGGUUUUGCCAUUCCUGGAGGGAAGGAAUUCCAUCGGUGGUGGGAGCUGCUGGAAUCAUCUCAGCGCUGAGGACACCGGGCCGUGCCCAGGGCUGGCACUCAUCCCCUCGGCCAGGGAGCGGCUCCCGAGGCAGGAUUUGUCCCUGGAUGUCUCCUCUGCACCGGGACCCCGAGCCCUGAGCCUCGGCUGGGAUUUGGACGCUCCCUCCCGUCUGCAGCUGGGAACGGCACGGCCGGGAGGCUGCAGGCACCUGCUCCUCCCAAAUCCCGCGGAUUUACUGCUUCUGGCACCUUCCUGCUGGGAAUGGCUCCGUCCCAGGGAAUCUCCCGAGGGACAGAUGUGGGAAAGCAGCACUUAGAGGUUACAAUUCCUUCUUUUUCUGCGCUGCUCCUGAAUCCCGGCUCUGGAGGAGGAAGGAUCCCAUGCACUCCUGGAGGACAAAUCCUGCUGCUCCGAGGUGAGUCAAGAAAAUGUAUUUUUCCUUUAUUUUUUUUCCUUAAAAGCACCUUGGACUUCUUGGAAAAUGAUAUUUUCCCUGUCUUGAGAAAAAAAAUGCCCAAUGCAGGGAGCUGCUGUGAGGGGAUGAGGGAACAGACAGGUUUGUUCUGACAGCUGGGCUGGCUGCUUUAAUCAAAUUAAUUUAAUCAAAUCAAAUCGAAUCAAAAUCAAAUCAAUUUCAUCAAAAUGAAUUUUUCAGUGCCGUCCCAGCUUGAAAUCCCCAACAGGAGUUUUCUUCCUGGAGUUUUAUUGCUGAGUAAUGGAUAAAAGGUUAAAGGCUACAGAUUCCAGGGAGGUUUUCCUUUCUUUCCCUCAGGAGGGGAAUCCUGAUGGUUUUCCACUCUCCUGAGCCAGAGGUGGCUGCAGGGGGAGCCUUGUCAGGGGCACUGGGGACAUCCUGAGGGGCUCCUGGUGGCUCCAGGGGAGGAGCUGAAAGGCUCCCUCCAGCCUGUGAACCUCCUUGGGAUGGAGAAUCCCAAAUUUCCUGCUAGAAAACGAUGCCAGAUUUGGGAUUUUGAGGGGACUUUGUCAUCUGACACGGGACAAGAGGGUGACACGGGACAAGAGGAGCUGCUGGGAACAGCAGGGGAUUGGGGCUGUGUGGCCUGCGAGGAGGAGGAGGAGGAGGAUGGAAUGGGAUGUCUUGGGUGGGGAAUGAGCUGCUGCUGACCACAGAUCCAGGAGGGUCUGGUGCUUCCCAGAGGGGGCAGAGGCAGAGCUGGAGCUCGGAGUGGCUGGAUCAGCUCUUGAUUUCAGUCCUGCACCUGUUGGAAUGGAGCAGGGGAGCUUCAUUUUCCUCUCUGCCAGUUCUGAGUGGUGCUGGUGCAGCCCAGAUGCUUCCCAAUCCCUUGGGAUUGUGG